Ribosomal RNA from Callithrix jacchus (white-tufted-ear marmoset), 121 nucleotides. The record is from Ensembl. NCBI's taxonomy places the organism in Eukaryota, Metazoa, Chordata, Mammalia, Primates, Cebidae.
AUGUAUGGCCAUACCACCAUGAAUGUACCUGAUCUUGUUUGAUCUCAUGAAGCUAAGCAGGGUCAGGCCUGGUUAGUAUUUGGUAUGGGAGACCACCUGGAAAUACCUGGUGCUGUAGGCU